AGAGAAACCAAACUUCUCCGCCCAUAAUAAUGUUCACCUAAAAUACAAUGCUUUAUCUUCAAAAAUAAAUACCCAUAACUCAAAACAAUUUCGUUUGUCCACACUCCACACACAAACAAACAUUUCGAAGCAGUCCAUUUUCUUUUUCAUUUUUCACACACACUUUUCGUACAUAUAGCUAAAAUAAACAUCUUACAUAUACCAUAACUCAUAAUUCAUCCUUAAAUCACAAGUUUUCAUUUCAUCAAACAAUUUUCAGCAGCUUUUCUCAUGGAGAUUUUCUGGUUUUUCAAAAUUUUCUUGACUUUCACCUUCUUUUUCUUGAUGGGAGAUCCAUUUUUCUCUCAUUCAUCUUCUUUGCCCGAGGGAAUCGCGAAGUCUGCAGCUGUACACCGCAAUUACACCGCCAUAUCAGAGUUUCGAGUACUCAACAGAAAACCUUUGAAGGAUUGCCCCGACCUGAACCCGUAUUUGCAAAUAAACACAAGCUCCAUUGCCAAGCUUUCUGAUGAUGGAUAUAUAACAGUAAAUGUUACAGGAGUUUUACUUCCUUCGGCUACUGAUUGGGUCGCAAUGAUUUCCCCAUCUCAUGCCGUGUAAGAUGAUUAUUUUCGUAUCUAAAUAAUCUGAUUCUACGCUUGAAAAAACGGUAAAUUUAAUCUGAUCUUGCAGUGUAACAGCCUGUUUAGAAAACUCAAUUCUUUAUAAGGAGACAGGAGAUUUUAGUAGUCUUCCUCUUCUCUGCCAUUAUCCUGUUAAGGUAAGUGCAUUCUACUUUUGCAAAACGUUUGAAGGAUUAUAAUAAUCACAGUUUAAUUAGCCUUGAGAUUAUUUUAUAUUUUACUGCGCGCAGCCAUUCUUUUAAUUUAUUUCUUGACAUGCCUGGUUCAUAAUGAUCAGAAAUCUGUUUAAGUAUCAAAUAAUUCAGAAACUGAGAGUUUCUUGAAAAAUUUGUCCUUGAUCCGAUAUUUACUCGACAUAGUAACAACAACAAUAACAAACUAAUGUCGAUCGACUUGGGUUAUUGCUAAAAUUUGCAGGCUCAAUAUUUAAGAAGUGAUCCAGAUUACUUAAGUUGCAAGAAGAAGGAAUGCAAGAAAAAAGUGAAUGGAAAAUGCGUGUUGAGAACAUGUAGUGCGUCUUUGUCAUUUCAUGUCAUUAAUAUUCGAACUGAUAUCGAAUUUGUGCUGUUUGCUGGUGGAUUUGUUGCGCCUUGCAUUUUGAGAAGAUCACAGCCACUCAGAUUUGCCAAUCCAAACAAGCCUUUAUAUGGACAUAUAUCGAGUACCGAUUCAACAGCAAAAUCGGUAUGGAAUGCCAUCUCUGAUCUCCAAUAUCCAUGCAUGUGGUUGAGAAUUAAUUAUUUUAUUUUUAUUUACAACAUUUUAGAGGAAAUAGUUCGACGAUUUUUUAUUUAUUUAUUUUUGAUAAUAUGUUAUUAAAAAGCGGAAGUUAUGAAUUUCAUAAAAUGUGUGUGACUGAAAAUUAUUUGAACGAAAAAAGUUUAAGAAAAAGUUGUAUCAAACAUGCCUUUAUUUAACCCCUAUUUGGUAUAGCUAAAAAUUAAUUUUUUGUAAAUUUUAAUAAAAGUUGAUGAAAUGUAUUGAAAAGUUUGAAUCCCUUAAAUUAUUUAAUUAAAAUAAAAUUUUAAUUUUCACCAUAAUUUUUCAAUUCCUUACUCCUGUAAGAAAUGGCACAAGGCUUUGUUGACUUUGCUAUCAUUAAUUGCCUUGUCCGCCCGGCAAGAUUAUCGUUCACAAGCAUCUGCAAUUUCCUCUUUUUAAUAAAUUAAACAGCUGUGAUGGGAUGGCAACAUAUUUACCUUCUUUAUGGGAUUAAAAUCAAAAUUUAUUGAUAAAAAUUAAUAAAAUGUAUGAUUGAAAAGUUGUGAAUCCUAUAAAAUAUAUUAUUAAAUCUAAUUAUUAAUUAUAAUUAUAAUUAUAAUUUUAAAUCCUAAUGAAUGGGGACUUAAAGAUCUACCACCAACUUAACUGAGCAAUUACUGUUGUGCAGAACAAAUAUUGAAUAUUCUCACCUUUUACUGAAUUAAGUAAUUAAUUCAGUGUACUCGUGGGAUUAAAAAGUCAGCAGCAGUUGACUGCAAAAUUUUGAGGUGUGAAAGAAGAAAAAACGUAGCAGUGCUUUCAAACGUAGGGCCACAUAAUAUUAGUGCAUGGGAAGUGAUAAAUAAUUAUAUAUUUAAUUAGGUAUAUUUUUUAUGCUGAUGAGAUUAGACAUUAUAAAGAAUAGAUUUUGUAAUGUUUUUUCCCAAAGUUUGAUGCAUUAUAAUUUUGACGUGUCAAAAUUUUAGUGAGACGCAUUUUUGCCUUUAAAAAAAACAACGAAAGAGACAACAAGAUAGAGCAACAAAUGUAGACUCGUCGUGAACGCAUUAACACCUGUAUUUGAUAUGAAUAUAUUUGGUAAGAUUUGAUAUGAAUAUAUGGAGAAUAUAAUGGAUUUUUCAAAAUUGUGAUAAUUGCAGAUGAGAGUAACAUGGGUGAGUGGAAACCAACAGCCUCAACAUGUUCAAUUUGGAAAUGGGAAAUCAGUUACCUCACUUGUUUCUACUUUUUCACAAAGUGAUAUGUGCAACAGUAAGUUUCUUAUUCUCCUCGUGCUUUUGCUUAAAGUAGCUUAAAACCGUAUAUCUUUGAGACUUUUAUAAACAACCAAAUGACUUGAUUGAACAUCGUUUUGUCUACCCAUUUGAGAAGACUAAUGUUAUUCGGCACAACUAAUGUUAUAGUUUUUUCCAUGAAUUCUCGAAGGGAUUGGCAUCUUCAAUCUAGAUUAAUGUUUUAUUCUAAAAUAUUGUUUCCUUUUUAUCGAAAAUAAGCUUCCUACUUACAAAGUCCUGCCAAGGAUUUUGGGUGGCAUGACCCUGGCUACAUUCAUUCAGCUGUAAUGACAGGACUCAACCCUUCAACCAAGUACCUCUACAGAUAUGGAAGGUAAAUUUUUGUUUCCAAGUGAAAAAUAAGAAGAGGGAAAAAGAAAGCCGAAAACAUUCUGCAGUAGGAAAAUAUUUUUAAUUUCGACUGGUAAAAAAUCGAAAAACUUAUUGCAUAUACUCAGACUUACAUGUAUUAUACAUAAUUUGAACAUAUAAUACAGUGAUUCAAGUGGAUGGAGUAAUUGGACAACAUUCAAAACACCGCCUGCUGGUGGAUCAGAUGAGCUUAAAUUUCUUGCAUUUGGUGACAUGGGCAAGGCUUCUCGUGAUGCUUCUACUGAACACUAUAUACAGGUAAUAUAUAAGUGUGGAUAUGUCUGUUACAGAAAAUAUGAAUACAAUGCAAUUAUGGCUAAAAAGGGCCUUAUUUUUGGGGAUAAAUAUAGCCAGGAUCACUAUCAGUCAUCGAAGCUAUGGCCGACGAACUAUCCUCCAGUGGAGUCGACGCAAUAUAUCAUAUUGGAGACAUAAGCUAUGCCACAGGUUUUCUAGUAGAAUGGGACUUUUUCCUUCACCAAAUUAAUCCAGUGGCCUCUAAAGUUUCUUACAUGACUGCAAUUGGGAAUCAUGAGAGGUAUGCUGUUCGGUUCAAAAUUGUGUAACUGUCACAUAUUUAAUGAGAAAAUGGUUCGACGCUGUUUAAGCUUUUAGACAAACUGAUAAAAAUUCGAGGUAUUAUCUUUCAGGGAUUUUGGAGACUCCGGAUCGGUUUAUUUUACUCCGGACUCUGGUGGUGAGUGUGGGGUACCUUAUGAGACAUAUUUUCCAAUGCCAGCAGUUGCAAAGGAUAAGCCAUGGUAUUCUAUAGAACAAGGGAGUGUUCACUUUACAGUAAUUUCAACAGAGCAUAAUUGGACACAAAACUCAGAACAGGUACAUAAAUAACCUUCUUUUACACUGUUUUGUGCCUCGUUUAGCAUAGUAGGUAAUGUAAUACUAGAAAGUAGAGUAAUGUCUAAUAAGUUUAUGUUGUCUAAUACCAGGUGUAUGUUUGAUAUUGAUUUUUCUCCUCAAAACAUUCAUUUUUUGACCAUUAUUUCACUAUUUCAGCCGUCAUUUUUGACUUCUUCUCUCACAAAUUAGACACAUUUUUCUCUCUAACAGUCAAAAAAUCAAUUUUCAAAAUCACUAUCGAACAAGCCCCAGCAACAAAACUUAGCCUUACAUCUUUUCCGUCUCAUGGAACAAAAUAAUAAUUGUUGCACUUAACUUCAUUGUGUCCUUGCACAGUAUGAAUGGAUGAAGAAGGACAUGGCUUCAGUUGAUCGAUCAAGAACUCCAUGGUUAAUAUUCACGGGGUAAUUUUAUAUUUUCAAGGCCACGGCCAAUAUCUUUUUAUUGCAUUUCGAUUAGCCAACUUUUAACUAAAACUCUGCUUGUCUUCUUUCAUGAGUAGGCUAGAUGUUUAAUCAACAAUAAACUAAAUGUUUUGCGUUUUUCCUAAACAAAUUUGGAUCAGUAACAAAUUAUCAUGAAUGAAAAUUCUUGUCAGUGACCACCGACAGUAGGUCGAUAUGUGAUUUAGAUGGAAUUAUCGACAAUGAUGUUGUUGGUGAUUGUUAAUAUAUUGUCAUUAGUGAUUGUCAAUGGACCGCUUAAUUCUUGAGUCGACUCUGAUUUAAAAGAUGCACGAAUAUGUUUUUUUUACUGCUCCGUUCAUUUCAUUGCCACAUUACUUAAAUCCAAUGCCAGUAACAGAAACAUGUACAAAUAAUCAAUUCAUUAAUUUUACAUGUCAAUAAAAUUAAUGAAUAUUGCGAAUUGACUACAGGCACAGGCCCAUGUAUUCCUCCAACGACGGAAACAUUAUUUUGCCAAGCGUCGACGACAAAUUCGUCCAAGCCGUGGAGCCAUUGCUACUAGCCAAUAAGGUAAAAGUUUCCAUCGAGAACACAAAUUUUAGUAAGUACUGGCUUCGUGAUUAAUUGUACUCACUAACAUAUAAAUGGAUCUACAGGUUGAUCUUGUUCUAUUUGGACACGUUCACAACUACGAAAGAACAUGUGCCGUUUAUAAGCAACAAUGCAAGGCAAUGCCAAAGAAAGAAAGAAAUGGAAUUGAUACAUAUGAUAAUACAAAGUAUAGUGCACCAGUUCAUGCUGUUAUUGGAAUGGCUGGCUUUAGCUUGGAUAAGUUCUCCAACAAGGUAAGUAGUUACAACCUCAAGCCCUCAUAGAGACUCGUCCCCCCACUCUCAUCGUCGUCUCAAGUAUCAAACUUGGAUCCCCUGUCAAUUUUUCUUGACCUUUGGGUUUCAAAUUCAAUUUUGUAGCUUGAGAUUUCUCUAUACGAUUUAUUAAAGAUGAUCUUAAAAGAAAUCCAUGUCUUGGGACACAAAUUCUACCGGACGUUAACUCAAAAAGAAAAAAAUGUCAAGAAAGAUAUACAAAUACUCGAGCCUACAAUGAGAAUCACAGUUGCAAUUUUUCAUGGAAAAUAGUAACACAUACUAGAAUCAUGGGGACGUUUUUUUGUUCGUGAUGGACAGGGGAAGCCAUGGAGUUUGGUUAGGAUUUCCGAGUUUGGAUACACAAGAGUGCAUGCAACAAAGAAAGAGCUAAAAGUUGAGGUCAGUUCAUGAAUCUUUAUCUGCUUUAAUUUUAAAAUUGGGUGAUGCAAUAAGAACAUCAAAUUGAGUUAAUUUCUUGACAUGUUUAUAUCAUUUUGCAGUAUGUAAAUUCAAAUACAAGAAACGUUGAAGAUAGCUUCCGAAUCAUCAAAAGUUGAAAAAUGAAAAAUAUAUAGGCAGGGAGAUUUGCUUUAUAAAUAUAUUGUAAUGAAAGAACAUUGGAAAUCUUUUAAGAGCACUUGUAUUUUCUAAAUAGCUUCUCUGAUUUUUAUUUUUGAAUCUAAACUGUCUUGGUCAGUUGAUUUCAUCCCAGUUUUUGAAGAACUGUUUUUAGACUAUGACCAAAC
RNAcentral lists this long non-coding RNA (5872 nucleotides) under Olea europaea subsp. europaea. Lineage: Eukaryota; Viridiplantae; Streptophyta; Magnoliopsida; Lamiales; Oleaceae. The record is from RNAcentral.